RNAcentral lists this ribosomal RNA (326 nucleotides) under uncultured eukaryote. Its description in RNAcentral is "partial 18S ribosomal RNA". It matches the Rfam family "Eukaryotic small subunit ribosomal RNA", at positions 1470 to 1796 of the family's 1831-position model. The record is from RNAcentral.
CCCUUAGAUGUUCUGGGCCGCACGCGCGCUACACUGAUGAAUUCAACGAGCACUAACCUGUGCAGAAAUGUUCGGGUAAUCUUGUGAAAUUUCAUCGUGAUGGGGAUUGAUUAUUGCAAUUAUUAAUCAUAAACGAGGAAUGCCUAGUAAGCGUGAGUCAUCAGCUCACGUUGAUUACGUCCCUGCCCUUUGUACGCACCGCCCGUCGCUCCUACCGAUUGAAUGUGCUGGUGAAAAGUUCGGAUUGGGAAUAGGAGACGGCAACGUAUCCUGUUUCUGAGAAAAUCUUUAAACCCUCCCAUUUAGAGGAAGGAGAAGUCGUAACA